Molecule: ribosomal RNA, 1258 nt
Filed under: Bacteroidales str. KB1
Lineage: Bacteria; Pseudomonadati; Bacteroidota; Bacteroidia; Bacteroidales
Description: partial 16S ribosomal RNA
Rfam family: Bacterial small subunit ribosomal RNA
Source: RNAcentral
GAGUAACGCGUAUCCAACCUGCCCACAACUAGAGAAUAACCUUGCGAAAGUAAGACUAAUGCUCUAUAAUUUCCUUAGAUGGCAUCUGACGAGGAAUAAAGAUUUAUCGGUUAUGGAUGGGGAUGCGUCUGAUUAGCUUGUUGGCGGGGUAACGGCCCACCAAGGCAACGAUCAGUAGGGGUUCUGAGAGGAAGGUCCCCCACAUUGGAACUGAGACACGGUCCAAACUCCUACGGGAGGCAGCAGUGAGGAAUAUUGGUCAAUGGGCGAAAGCUGAACCAGCCAAGUAGCGUGCAGGAUGACGGCCCUAUGGUUGUAAACUGCUUUUAUACAGGGAUAAGUUAGUCACGUGUGGCUAUUUGCAGGUACUGUAUGAUAAGGACGGGCUAUUUCCGUGCUAGCAGCCGCGGUAAUACGGGAAGGUCCAGGCGUAAUCCGGAUUUAUGGGGUUUAAGGGGAGCGUAGGCCGUCUGUAAAGCGUGUGGUGAAAUGUAGAUGCUCAACAUCUGAUUGGCAGGCCCGAACCUGCCAGACUUGAGUUUCCGCAACGUAGGCGGAAUUCGUGGUGUACGCGGUGAAAUCCUUAGAUAUCACGAAGGACUCCAAUUCGCGAAGCAGCUUACGGGAGCACCACUGUACGCUUAGCUCGAAAGUGCGGGUAUCGGACAGGAUUAGAUACCCUUGUAGUCCGCACGGUAAACGAUGGAUGCCCGCUGUUGACCACCUGGCCAGCGCCAGCGGAAGCAUUAAGCAUCCCACCUGGGAGUACGCCGCAACGUGAAACUCAAAGGAUUGACGGGGGCCCGCACAAGCGGAGGGACAUGUGGUUUAAUUCGAUGAUACGCGAGGAACCUUACCCGGCUUGAAUUGCAGAGAAUUUACCAGAGACGGUUAAGCUUCGGGGUCUCUGUGAAGGUGCUGCAUGGUUGUCGUCAGCUCGUGCCGUGAGGUGUCGGCUUAAGUGCCAUAACGAGCGCAACCCCUUUCUUUAGUUGCCAUCAGGUAAUGCUGGGCACUCUGGAGAUACUGCCACCGUAAGGUGUGAGGAAGGUGGGGAUGACGUCAAAUCAGCACGGCCCUUACGUCCGGGGCUACACACGUGUUACAAUGGCCGGUACAGAGAGACGGUUGCUUGCAAAAGUAAUCCAAUCCUUAAAGCCGGUCCCAGUUCGGACUGGGGUCUGCAACCCGACCCCACGAAGCUGGAUUCGCUAGUAAUCGCGCAUCAGCCAUGGCGCGGUGAAUACGUUCCCGGGCC